Danio rerio (zebrafish) is the source of this 373-nucleotide non-coding RNA. Lineage: Eukaryota; Metazoa; Chordata; Actinopteri; Cypriniformes; Danionidae. The record is from RefSeq and is a predicted model, not a curated record.
UAUGGAAAGCAUUGUCAGUGCACUGUGAAUGUCCUGAAAUCAAUAUAAAAAUGUAACACAAUCUAAAUGCAAUGGUUUUAUACAAGUUUACUUAAUAUUGCAGAUAGAAUUUAUGUAAUUGACAUUUAAAUACAAUAGUCAUUUCCCUAGUACAAAUGUGCUUUUUAUGCGACAUGAUUGUUUCUACUUUUAUCUUUUAGAACUGUUUCACCAGCUAUCCAUCCUGUGUCAGAGAGACUCACCAGAUAUUCGAGAUUCUUCACUGCACUUUGCAUCUUGGUUUCUUGUGAAAAAUAAAACAACUACUUCUGUUGUUUUAUUUUUCAGUGUUCUCCAUUCUUACAGGGGAUUACGUUUCUUUUGUUUUAAUAAA